GACAGAGGCCACAAGCGUUAGGCGGAAUCACUGGGCUUAAAGCGUGUGUAGGCGGAUCGUUAAGUGCCUUGUGAAAUCCCACCGCUCACCGGUGGAACGGCUGGGCAUACUGGCGGUCUUGAGCCAUCUAGGGGCGACUGGAACAAACGGUGGAGCGGUGAAAUGCGUAGAUAUCGUUUGGAACGCCAAAGGUGAAAACAGGUCGCUGGGGAUGUGCUGACGCUGAGACACGAAAGCCAGGGGAGCAAACGGG
RNAcentral lists this ribosomal RNA (253 nucleotides) under uncultured bacterium. Its description in RNAcentral is "partial 16S ribosomal RNA". It matches the Rfam family "Bacterial small subunit ribosomal RNA", at positions 524 to 776 of the family's 1533-position model. The record is from RNAcentral.